This 170-nucleotide ribosomal RNA is filed under the name Fucus vesiculosus. RNAcentral's name for it is "partial small subunit ribosomal RNA". The record is from RNAcentral. Lineage: Eukaryota; Phaeophyceae; Fucales; Fucaceae.
UAACCACUCGUCAGGCGCUGAAAAAAGAAGAUGCAGUAAGUUUGAUUUUUUCUGUGUAAAGUUAUAUAUAUUUAUGAUAUAUAAAUAUGCAGGAUAGUUUUCGUAUGCAAAACUUUGAUUGGUGUUAAGUCGAAAUAAGGUUCGUGUAAUGGAAAUUGCACGGGGAGUAU